UACGUAGGGGGCAAGCGUUGUCCGGAAUCAUUGGGCGUAAAGCGCGUGUAGGCGGUUUGGUAAGUCCGCUCUGAAAGUCCGGGGCUCAACCCCGGGAGGCGGGUGGAUACUGUCAGACUAGAGUGCGGAAGAGGCGAGUGGAAUUCCCGGUGUAGCGGUGAAAUGCGCAGAUAUCGGGAGGAACACCAAUGGCGAAGGCAGCUCGCUGGGACGUUACUGACGCUGAGACGCGAAAGCGUGGGUAGCAAACAGG
This 253-nucleotide ribosomal RNA is filed under the name uncultured bacterium. RNAcentral describes it as "partial 16S ribosomal RNA". It matches the Rfam family "Bacterial small subunit ribosomal RNA", at positions 524 to 776 of the family's 1533-position model. The record is from RNAcentral.